GAAGGUAUGGCUCAGUGAUAGAGUGCAUUUCUAGCAUGCACAAGGUCCUGGGUUCAAUCCCCAGUAUCUCCA
This 72-nucleotide transfer RNA is filed under the name Camelus bactrianus (Bactrian camel). It matches the Rfam family "tRNA". Rfam says of the family: Transfer RNA (tRNA) molecules are approximately 80 nucleotides in length. Their secondary structure includes four short double-helical elements and three loops (D, anti-codon, and T loops). RNAcentral also lists the same sequence under 1 other name. The record is from Rfam by way of RNAcentral. Lineage: Eukaryota; Metazoa; Chordata; Mammalia; Artiodactyla; Camelidae.